GGCUCCCCAUUUUCCGUCAGAAGUCUUCCAAGUGCUUGCUGUUUUAAAUGUCUUAAAAGUCCAAAUAUAACAUGCUUGUGCUUGACAAAGGCAAGUUUCCUCCUUUGAAUCCAUGGCUGGAAGACCUGGUAAAGGCAAUAGAUAAUGAACAUUGAAACAGAGAUAAUAAGAGCAAUCAACACUGCCAAGUGCCUUCCUGAUGUUGAAUUGAGCAUUUGUGGAAGUUGAACUAUUAAAAAUGGGAAAACAGAUAUAACCAUAAUCCUGGCAGCAUAGCUGGUCCAAAUAUCAGUGCUGACUCCAGAUUCAGUCAAGCUAAACCCUUUUGUAUCCUGUGAAUCUAUGGCAACUGAAUCCUGAAGGUCACACUUCCCAACAAUCACACAUGUACCCCAGAUCAGUGUUAGAAGCAUGACAGUUGAGCCAGCUAGGAGGCCCAUUCCAACAGAGACUUGGCUUUGUGCAACUUCAGCACUUCCUGCAAGACCAGAAACGAGAAUCAGCAUAGCAUCGGGAAGAGCACCAAGCGCAGGAAGGAACAAUCCCCCCACAAUUCCAGGUCCCAAGAUCUCCAACAAGAGCUCGCUUCCAGUAGACAAGUAUUUAGCAGCCAAGAACAUCAAAUAGCCAUAAACGAUAAUCAAAAAGAGAUUCCCCAAAGCAGUGGUGGUACAGGGAAGAAACCCAUAAGACUGCUCGCAAGACUCCUCCUCGGGUGCAGAGAAUGAAGCAAGCGUGUUGAGAUGCAGAUAAGGGGGUUCCUGCAAUUCAUUGACGCCAUCGGAGACCAGAUCAGAGGAGGAGGAAGAAGUGAGGGAAGAAAUGGAGGCGAGGCGGGAGCUGUGGGAUUGAGCACAGAGGAUGAGGAAAAGGAGGAGGAGGAGAUGCAGGGGAGUUGUGGACAUGGCUUUUGAGCCAAAAUCUGGAGGUCCGGCGAGAGAGAAGAAGUGGG
RNAcentral lists this unclassified non-coding RNA (952 nucleotides) under Hevea brasiliensis (rubber tree). The record is from RNAcentral. Lineage: Eukaryota; Viridiplantae; Streptophyta; Magnoliopsida; Malpighiales; Euphorbiaceae.